GAGGGUAUAGCUCAAGUGGUAGAGCGCAUGCUUAGCAUGCACGAGAUCCUGGGUCCAGCCCCCAGUACCUCUA
RNAcentral lists this transfer RNA (73 nucleotides) under Camelus bactrianus (Bactrian camel). It matches the Rfam family "tRNA". From Rfam's summary of the family: Transfer RNA (tRNA) molecules are approximately 80 nucleotides in length. Lineage: Eukaryota; Metazoa; Chordata; Mammalia; Artiodactyla; Camelidae. RNAcentral also lists the same sequence under 2 other names. The record is from Rfam by way of RNAcentral.